UUUAAGGUCUCUAAAGAGCCGUCCGAGACUAGGACGUUGAUAGGCAGGGUGUGUAAGCGUUGUGAGGCGUUGAGCUAACCUGUACUAAUGACUCGUGAGGCUUAACCAUACAACCCAAAAGGGUUU
Molecule: ribosomal RNA, 126 nt
Filed under: Shewanella insulae
Lineage: Bacteria; Pseudomonadati; Pseudomonadota; Gammaproteobacteria; Alteromonadales; Shewanellaceae
Description: partial 23S ribosomal RNA
Rfam family: Bacterial large subunit ribosomal RNA (bases 1-109)
Source: RNAcentral